UUGAAUUAGCGAGGGCUGUCUGCUGGCCCCUUCGGGGGCAUGUGCACGUCCGAGCCGUUUAAAUCAACACCUGUGAACUCACCGUAGGCCUUCGGGCUUAUGUAUCAUAUAUAUAUACUCAGAUCAUAGAAUGUACAUUUUGCCUUUAAAAAAGCAAUCAAAUA
Molecule: unclassified non-coding RNA, 164 nt
Filed under: uncultured Atheliaceae
Lineage: Eukaryota; Fungi; Basidiomycota; Agaricomycetes; Atheliales; Atheliaceae
Description: sequence contains ITS1
Source: RNAcentral